RNAcentral lists this long non-coding RNA (559 nucleotides) under Salvia miltiorrhiza (redroot sage). RNAcentral's name for it is "long non-coding RNA (SMIL_LNC007516)". The record is from RNAcentral. Lineage: Eukaryota; Viridiplantae; Streptophyta; Magnoliopsida; Lamiales; Lamiaceae.
UUGCAAGCAUAGGAACACUUAAACAGGUUGAAUUGGUGGGGUGCAAUUAUGUUGCUGUUGAUUGCGUUGAGAAGAUGAGAGAAGAACGGAGGGACAGUGGAAAGGACCUGCCACUUGGCGUCUAUUCUUCAUGGGGAAAAGAAUCUUCGCCACACGGUAUGCAAACAUGGGCUCCUAACUAUUUUAGUAGUGACUGAUGAUAUUAGGCUAAAUGCUUUGGCAUUUCACUCAUUGAUCAUAUUUUUACCACAGAUUGCUGACAGAGGGGACUUGGUGGUAUGACUGGGACGUUUUGUUAUCAGACUUUGAGUGUAAGGCGUCAUGGCUUAAAACCUUGCACAGUUGCACCUUUUUUUUCUCUCGUUUUCUUUUGAGCGUAGAAACUGAAUGUGCACUUUAAUUUGAAGUUUGUAUCCUAUUAUGUGUUUCCUGAAAACCAGACUUCGUGUGAUCGGUCGAUUAAUCGUACGAAACAAACCAACAAACAAACUGUAAAUGUUUCAUACUAAUAUUGAAAACUAAGAUGCCUAUCUCGUGAACCAUAAACAAUAUUUAUGCC